GACGAACGCUGGCGGCGUGCUUAACACAUGCAAGUCGAACGGAAAGGCCCUGCUUUUGUGGCUUGCACGUGUGGCGAACGGGUGUGUAAAACGUGAGUAACAUGUCCUUGUCUUUGGGAUAAAUUUAGGAAACUGGGGCUCAUACAGGAUAGAAGCUACUGAUGCAUGGUGGGCGUUGGUAAGUUGCGGUGGUUGGGGCUGGACUCGCGGGAUAUCAGCUUGGUGGUGGGGUAGUGGCUUACCAAGGCUUUGAAGGGUAGCCGGCCUGAGAGGGUGACCGGCCACAGUGGGACUGAGAUACGGCCCAGACUCCUACGGGAGGCAGCAGUGGGGAAUAUUGCACAAUGGGCGGAAGCCUGCUGCAGCAACGCCGCGUGCGGGAUGACGGCCUUCGGGUUGUAAACCGCUUUCGCCUGUGACGAAGCGUGAGUGACGGUAAUGGGUAAAGAAGCACCGGCUAACUACGU
RNAcentral lists this ribosomal RNA (467 nucleotides) under uncultured bacterium. Its description in RNAcentral is "partial 16S ribosomal RNA". It matches the Rfam family "Bacterial small subunit ribosomal RNA", at positions 28 to 506 of the family's 1533-position model. The record is from RNAcentral.